RNAcentral lists this ribosomal RNA (497 nucleotides) under uncultured bacterium. RNAcentral's name for it is "partial 16S ribosomal RNA". It matches the Rfam family "Bacterial small subunit ribosomal RNA", at positions 28 to 507 of the family's 1533-position model. The record is from RNAcentral.
GAUGAACGCUGGCGGCGUGCCUAAUACAUGCAAGUCGAGCGAACAGAUAAGGAGCUUGCUCCUUUGACGUUAGCGGCGGACGGGUGAGUAACACGUGGAUAACCUACCUAUAAGACUGGGAUAACUUCGGGAAACCGGAGCUAAUACCGGAUAACAUAUUAAACCGCAUGGUUCAAUAGUGAAAGGCGGCUUUGCUGUCACUUAUAGAUGGAUCCGCGCCGUAUUAGCUAGUUGGUAAGGUAACGGCUUACCAAGGCAACGAUACGUAGCCGACCUGAGAGGGUGAUCGGCCACACUGGAACUGAGACACGGUCCAGACUCCUACGGGAGGCAGCAGUAGGGAAUCUUCCGCAAUGGGCGAAAGCCUGACGGAGCAACGCCGCGUGAGUGAUGAAGGUCUUCGGAUCGUAAAACUCUGUUAUCAGGGAAGAACAAAUGUGUAAGUAACUGUGCACAUCUUGACGGUACCUGAUCAGAAAGCCACGGCUAACUACGUG